GUACACAGUUGUAUAUCUUAGUUGCACGUCCUUCUUGUUGUGGGUUGUGGGACACUGCCUCAACGUGGCCUGACGAGCGGUGCCCUGUCUGCGCCCAGGAUCUGAACCCUGGGACGCCGCAGCAGAGCGUGCAAACUUAACCACUCGGCCAUGGAGCUGGCCCCUCUCUUUUAAAUACCUACUCCUAUAAAACUCACCCUUGGAUGUUAAUACACAGCUCAGUUGCCUGUUUAGUGUCAUUCACUCUGCAAUGACAGUGCAGUGUUUGUUCCAAUUUGAACAUUUGCUUGCUUGCUAAUUUCAAAAAGAGGUAAACAUCUGGGAAGUCAGUUUCUAUUUUUACAAAAGAAUUUAGAGAGAGAGAUUAUAAAAUGACUUCUUUUCAAAUGGACUGUAGAACUCUAAUACUGCCCAAGAGAUCAUGAAAUUCCAAUUGUACAUGAGCCCAAAAGGCAGAACAAUGGCCCCCACCAAUGUCUGUCUCCGGAGAGGUCCCUCUUCUCACCAAGAUGCCCCUAGAGACCACCAGGCUCACAAAGUUCCCUACUACGAGGCCAGUGUGCUUAGUUUACCAUCACUACCUCUUCAGUCAUGCAAAAUCUCCUGUGUAAAAUAUCAUCCAGCAUGGCCUGCCAAGCGGUGCCAUGUCCACACCUGGGAUCUGAAGCGGCAGGCCCUGGGUCGCUAGAAGUGGAUCCUGCGAACUUAACCGCUGCGCCACAGGGCCGGCCCCAUGUCUUUCUACUUCUGAUGCUACGUGGUUUCCUCCUCUACCCAAUGUCUUUCCCACCUGACAAAUAUCAGUUUAUUUUUUGACUCUCAGCUCAAGCAUCGUCUCCUCUGUGAAGUAUCUCCUGAUGGUCUUAAGCAGAAUUCCAAAUUCUUCCUUUGUGUCUUCAGUGUAAGACAAUGACUAUUUUUUGAAUGAACCCUAGUGAGAACUAAUUACUUUGGCAGUUUAGUUUUCCUGGAUCUGUUUAAUAUCAAAAAGGAUAUCAAAUUUAAUGUGGAUGCAAAUCUAUUUGUCCUGCUUCCAAGAGAGUAUCUACAUGGAGAUGGAGUUGUUGGGAAUUAGAAAACAUGAAGAGACAAUUUAAGAAAAAUGCUAAAAAUCUGAUUUUUUUAGGAUAGGCUUUCUUCAUUUUCAUUUCAGCAUUAUCUUUAUAUAUUCGUCUAAGGCAACAAACCUGUUUUAAUUAAAGAUCUGAAGAGAUUCAUCAUGGAUAAGAGAAGGGAAAAAAAGGUGAAAAAUGCUCAUUAGACUAAGAGGUACUCAAGACCUAGAUAGAAUUCUGACAACAGAAUUAUUAUUUUCUUUAAAGAUUUCUGCUCAGAGUGACCCUUAUGAACAAUAACAAUGUGCAAUUCCCCCACACUCUUCUUGGAUCCUUUCUAAAUAGUUCUCUAUCUAGAUGCCAGAAGCAUCUAUUAGAACACAUACUCAUAAGUUUAGUUCUUCAGCUUAUGUGCAUUCACCUACUCAUGUGGUGUGGUUAUGAACAGUGCAGUUAUAAACAUGUAGUUAUGAAUGAAUCACUUUCAAAUAGGCAAAUAUAGAUCAGCAGUUGGGCAGGACUAUGAUGCAAUUCUCCUGAGGAAGAGAAAAGUGAUGAAUUAUAUUCCCUGUGGUCAAUACAACGUAAUCUAUCUACUUUUAUUAAAAAAAAAAUUGGUUUGAAGAUGGGAUAUAAAAAAAUAAAUCCAAGGCCCCUUGACCUCUACUCCCUACUCCCUGAAUCUUUGUGAUGUCUGUUCCUAUCCCACAGAGCUUGACAGCAGAAAUAUCACUGUCUGGCUGCCUUUCAAGCCUAAGUUCGUAACAAACAGGUCAAGAAACGCCAUCACAUAACAUAUAAUUUUUUUUCUGGCUUUGAAUGGAUUCUAAAAUUGAAUAUAUUGAUGGUGGGAAGAAGAAGUCAUAACCAAUUUUAGGACAACAUUUCAAGUAUAUUCAGACACUCAUAUCCAUUUCAUUAAGCUGAAGAAGAAAGGUAUAAAUGGGUUUUCCAACAAGAGCUGAUCUAAAUAAUUAAACUGUUUGGACCCAAGUAUUUUUUCACAUGUAAUUGUCCUUUAAUUGUAGAAAGCACCCCUAGUGGUAGUCGAUUUUGAUGAGCUAAUUGUAGGAAACUCCCAAUAUUUAGAAUCAGCUAUCCAGUCUUCCAUUUGAGUUGGUUCAUAGAAACGGAUUACUGUUAUUAUACCAGCAAACUGUUAUUUUAGACAAAACUGAAUUAAACUGGUUCCUGAU
This is a long non-coding RNA of Equus caballus (horse), 2251 nucleotides long. Lineage: Eukaryota; Metazoa; Chordata; Mammalia; Perissodactyla; Equidae. The record is from Ensembl.